AGAAAAGGUCUCUUUUGUAGACCUCUUCUUAGGAGUUUUGCAGCAAGCGCAGGACAUGGGGAUCAGGAACUUUGCAGUGAAGUGACGGAGCUUCAGAAUGAAGUGAAAAAGCUCUCUGAGAAAAAUAUCAACUGGGAGAUUAUUAAAACUGACAUUUUAUGUGCCUUGUCCAGAAGUGAGAAGUGAUUUAUUAAAAAAAAAAAAAAAAAAAAACUGUGUG
This is a long non-coding RNA of Lagopus muta (rock ptarmigan), 220 nucleotides long. RefSeq lists it as uncharacterized. NCBI's taxonomy places the organism in Eukaryota, Metazoa, Chordata, Aves, Galliformes, Phasianidae. The transcript has 3 exons. The record is from RefSeq and is a predicted model, not a curated record.